GACGAACGCUGGCGGCGUGCUUAACACAUGCAAGUCGAACGGAAAGGCCCUGCUUUUGUGGGGUGCUCGAGUGGCGAACGGGUGAGUAACACGUGAGUAACCUGCCCUUGACUUUGGGAUAACUUCAGGAAACUGGGGCUAAUACCGGAUAGGAGCUCCUGCUGCAUGGUGGGGGUUGGAAAGUUUCGGCGGUUGGGGAUGGACUCGCGGCUUAUCAGCUUGUUGGUGGGGUAGUGGCUUCCCAAGCCUUUGACGGGUAGCCGGCCUGAGAGGGUGACCGGCCACAUUGGGACUGAGAUACGGCCCAGACUCCUACGGGAGGCAGCAGUGGGGAAUAUUGCACAAUGGGCGCAAGCCUGAUGCAGCAACGCCGCGUGCGUGAUGACGGCCUUCUGGUUGUAAACCGCUUUCGCCUGUGACGAAGCGUGAUUGACGGUAAUUGGUAAAGAAGCACCGGCUAACUACGUG
Molecule: ribosomal RNA, 468 nt
Filed under: uncultured bacterium
Lineage: Bacteria
Description: partial 16S ribosomal RNA
Rfam family: Bacterial small subunit ribosomal RNA
Source: RNAcentral